AGUGAACGCUGGCGGUAGGCCUAACACAUGCAAGUCGAACGGCAGCACAGUAAGAGCUUGCUCUUACGGGUGGCGAGUGGCGGACGGGUGAGGAAUACAUCGGAAUCUACUUUUUCGUGGGGGAUAACGUAGGGAAACUUACGCUAAUACCGCAUACGACCUACGGGUGAAAGCAGGGGAUCUUCGGACCUUGCGCGAUUGAAUGAGCCGAUGUCGGAUUAGCUAGUUGGCGGGGUAAAGGCCCACCAAGGCGACGAUCCGUAGCUGGUUUGAGAGGAUGAUCGGCCACACUGGAACUGAGACACGGUCCAGACUCCUACGGGAGGCAGCAGUGGGGAAUAUUGGACAAUGGGCGCAAGCCUGAUCCAGCCAUACCGCGUGGGUGAAGAAGGCCUUCGGGUUGUAAAGCCCUUUUGUUGGGAAAGAAAAGCAGCAGGUUAAUACCCCGCUGUUCUGACGGUACCCAAAGAAUAAGCACCGGCUAACUUCGUG
Molecule: ribosomal RNA, 492 nt
Filed under: uncultured bacterium
Lineage: Bacteria
Description: partial 16S ribosomal RNA
Rfam family: Bacterial small subunit ribosomal RNA
Source: RNAcentral